GAGUGACCGCUGGCGGUAGGCCUAACACAUGCAAGUCGAACGGCAGCACAGUAAGAGCUUGCUCUUACGGGUGGCGAGUGGCGGACGGGUGUGGAAUACAUCGGAAUCUACUUUUUCGUGGGGGAUAACGUAGGGAAACUUACGCUAAUACCGCAUACGACCUACGGGUGAAAGCAGGGGAUCUUCGGUCCUUGCGCGAUUGAAUGAGCCGAUGUCGGAUUAGCUAGUUGGCGGGGUAAAGGCCCACCAAGGCGACGAGCCGUAGCUGGUCUGAGAGGAUGAUCAGGCACACUGGAACUGAGACACGGUCCAGACUCCUACGGGAGGCAGCAGUGGGGAAUAUUGGACAAUGGGCGCAAGCCUGAUCCAGCCAUACCGCGUGGGUGAAGAAGGCCUUCGGGUUGUAAAGCCCUUUUGUUGGGAAAGAAGAGCAGCAGGUUAAUACCCCGCUGUUCUGACGGUACCCAAAGAAUAAGCACCGGCUAACUUCGUG
Molecule: ribosomal RNA, 493 nt
Filed under: uncultured bacterium
Lineage: Bacteria
Description: partial 16S ribosomal RNA
Rfam family: Bacterial small subunit ribosomal RNA
Source: RNAcentral